CGAGGGAUUCUUNUCUUGUAAUUGGAUGAUGGGAAUCUAAACCCCUUCCAGAGUAUCAAUUGGAGGGCAAGUCUGGUGCCAGCAGCCGCGGUAAUUCCAGCUCCAAUAGCGUAUAUUAAACUUGUUGCAGUUAAAAAGCUCGUAGUUGAAUUUCUGCUGUUUCGUUGACUGCGCUUGGCGUUUGUCAUCGUUGCGGCUUGGUUGGGUUUCGAUUAUUCGUUUCCCGGCGUUUACUUUGAGAAAAUUAGAGUGCUUGAAGCAGGCUUUUGCCUUGAAUACUUUAGCAUGGAAUAACGGAGUAGGACUUUGGUUCUAUUUUGUUGGUUUUAGGAGCCAGAGUAAUGGUUAAUAGGAACAGUUGGGGGCAUCCGUAUUUGACUGUCAGAGGUGAAAUUCUUA
This 399-nucleotide ribosomal RNA is filed under the name Theileria equi. Its description in RNAcentral is "SSU rRNA". It matches the Rfam family "Eukaryotic small subunit ribosomal RNA", at positions 485 to 922 of the family's 1831-position model. Lineage: Eukaryota; Apicomplexa; Aconoidasida; Piroplasmida; Theileriidae. The record is from RNAcentral.